This 767-nucleotide ribosomal RNA is filed under the name uncultured bacterium. Its description in RNAcentral is "bacterial SSU rRNA". It matches the Rfam family "Bacterial small subunit ribosomal RNA", at positions 8 to 796 of the family's 1533-position model. The record is from RNAcentral.
AGAGUUUGAUCCUGGCUCAGAAUGAACGUUGGCGGCGUGGAUUAGGCAUGCAAGUCGUACGGGCCGCAAGGCCAGUGGCGCAAGGGUGAGUAAGGCGACGGUAACCAACCCCAUGAAUGGGCAUAGCCGCGGGAAACUGCGGGUAAUUCCCAGCGAUGUCUUCGAGGGGCAUCCCUUGAAGACCAAAGCUCCGGCGUCGUGGGACGGGCCGUUGUGGUAUUAGCUAGUUGGCGGGGUGACGGCCCACCAAGGCUACGAUGCCUACCGGGCGUGCGAGCGUGGCCCGGCACACUGGGACUGAGACACUGCCCAGACUCCUACGGGAGGCUGCAGUCGAGAAUCUUCGGCAAUGGGCGCAAGCCUGACCGAGCGACGCCGCGUGGAGGACGAAGGCCUUCGGGUUGUAAACUCCUGUCGAGGGGGAAGAAGGGGUAAAACCUUGACUGAUCCCUGGAGGAAGCACGGGCUAAGUUCGUGCCAGCAGCCGCGGUAAGACGAACCGUGCGAACGUUAUUCGGAAUCACUGGGCUUAAAGCGCGUGUAGGCGGGAGGGCACGUCGGUCGCUGAAAUCCCCCGGCUCAACCGGGGAACGGGCGCCGAUACGACCUUCCUGGAGGAACGUAGGGGGACCUGGAACUUCCGGUGGAGCGGUGAAAUGCGUUGAGAUCGGAAGGAACGCCCGUGGCGAAAGCGAGGUCCUGGACGUUUACUGACGCUGAGACGCGAAAGCCAGGGGAGCAAACGGGAUUAGAUACCCCAGUAGUCC